GACGAACGCUGGCGGCGUGCUUAACACAUGCAAGUCGAACGGAAAGGCCCUGCUUUUGUGGGGUGCUCGAGUGGCGAACGGGUGAGUAACACGUGAGUAACCUGCCCUUGACUUUGGGAUAACUUCAGGAAACUGGGGCUAAUACCGGAUAGGAGCUCCUGCUGCAUGGUGGGGGUUGGAAAGUUUCGGCGGUUGGGGAUGGACUCGCGGCUUAUCAGCUUGUUGGUGGGGUAGUGGCUUACCAAGGCUUUGACGGGUAGCCGGCCUGAGAGGGUGACCGGCCACAUUGGGACUGAGAUGCGGCCCAGACUCCUACGGGAGGCAGCAGUGGGGAAUAUUGCACAAUGGGCGGAAGCCUGAUGCAGCAACGCCGCGUGCGGGAUGACGGCCUUCGGGUUGUAAACCGCUUUCGCCUGUGACGAAGCGUGAGUGACGGUAAUGGGUAAAGAAGCACCGGCCAACUACGUG
This 468-nucleotide ribosomal RNA is filed under the name uncultured bacterium. Its description in RNAcentral is "partial 16S ribosomal RNA". It matches the Rfam family "Bacterial small subunit ribosomal RNA", at positions 28 to 507 of the family's 1533-position model. The record is from RNAcentral.